RNAcentral lists this ribosomal RNA (484 nucleotides) under uncultured bacterium. RNAcentral's name for it is "partial 16S ribosomal RNA". It matches the Rfam family "Bacterial small subunit ribosomal RNA", at positions 30 to 507 of the family's 1533-position model. The record is from RNAcentral.
AUUGAACGCUGGCGGCAGGCCUAACACAUGCAAGUCGAGCGGAUGAAGGGAGCUUGCUCCUGGAUUCAGCGGCGGACGGGUGAGUAAUACCUAGGAAUCUACCUGGUAGUGGGGGAUAACGUCCGGAAACGGGCGCUAAUACCGCAUACGUCCUGAGGGAGAAAGUGGGGGAUCUUCGGACCUCACGCUAUCAGAUGAGCCUAGGUCGGAUUAGCUAGUUGGUGGGGUAAAGGCCUACCAAGGCGACGAUCCGUAACUGGUCUGAGAGGAUGAUCAGUCACACUGGAACUGAGACACGGUCCAGACUCCUACGGGAGGCAGCAGUGGGGAAUAUUGGACAAUGGGCGAAAGCCUGAUCCAGCCAUGCCGCGUGUGUGAAGAAGGUCUUCGGAUUGUAAAGCACUUUAAGUUGGGAGGAAGGGCAGUAAGUUAAUACCUUGCUGUUUUGACGUUACCAACAGAAUAAGCACCGGCUAACUUCGUG